UGACGGGGGCCCGCACAAGCAGUGGAGCAUUUUGUUUAAUUCGAUGAUACGCGAGUAACCUUACCAGGUCUUGACAUAUACUCGAAUACCGUAGAGAUACGGUAGUUCUUCGGAACGGGUAUACAGGUGUUGCAUGGUUGUCGUCAGCUCGUGCCGUGAGGUGUUGGGUUAAGUCCCGCAACGAGCGCGACCCCUAUCCUUUGUUGCUAACAAUUCGGUUGAGCACUCUAAGGAGACUGCCGGUGACAAACCGGAGGAAGGUGGGGACGACGUCAAAUCAUCACGGCCAUUACGACCUGGGCUACAAACGUGCUACAAUGGUCGGUACAAAGAGUUGCGAUACAGUGAUGUUGAGCUAAUCUCAAAAAGCCGUCCUCAGUUCGGAUUGGAGUCUGAAACCCGACUCCAUGAAGCUGGAAUUGCUAGUAAUCGCACAUCAUCAUGGUGCGGUGAAUAUGUUCCCGGGCAUUGUACACACCGCCCGUCACAUCACCCGAAUUGAUUAUACCCGAAG
Molecule: ribosomal RNA, 514 nt
Filed under: uncultured organism
Description: bacterial SSU rRNA
Rfam family: Bacterial small subunit ribosomal RNA
Source: RNAcentral